Molecule: ribosomal RNA, 773 nt
Filed under: uncultured bacterium
Lineage: Bacteria
Description: bacterial SSU rRNA
Rfam family: Bacterial small subunit ribosomal RNA
Source: RNAcentral
AGUUAGAUCUAGUCUCAGGACGACGACUGGUGCUGGACUAACACAUGCUAGUCGAUCGAGGCUGUCCGGUGCUUGCACUGGAAGAUCGAGUGUCGAACGGGUGAGUAAUACAUGACAAUCCUGCCUCGGAGACGGGGACACCCUCGGGAAACUGAGGCUGAUACCCGAUAUCCCUGCCGAGUAGCAUGACUUGGCAAGAAAAAGCUCAGGUGCUCCAAGAGGAUCUCAUGCCCUAUCAGCUUGUUGGUGAGGUAAAAGCUCACCAAGGCUUAGACGGGUAGCUGGUCUGAGAGGACGAUCAGCCACACUGGGACUGAGACACGGCCCAGACUCCUACGGGAGGCAGCAGUGGGGAAUCUUGUGCAAUGGGCGAAAGCCUGACGCAGCCACGCCACGUGUGGGACGACGGCCCUCGGGUUGUAAUCCACUUUCAGCAGGGACGAAAAUGACGGUACCUGCAGAAGAAGCCCCGGCCAUCUACGUGCCAGCAGCCGCGGUAACACGUAGGGGGCGAGCGUUGUCCGGAAUUACUGGGCGUAAAGGGCUCGUAGGCGGUUUGGUAAGUCAGAUGUGAAAACUCCAGGCUCAACUUGGAGACGCCAUCUGAUACUGCCAUGACUAGAGUUUGGUAGAGGAGUGCAGAAUUCCCGGUGUAGCGGUGAAAUGCGCAGAUAUCGGGAGGAAUACCAGUCAGCGAAGGCGGCACUCUGGCCCACAUCUGACGCUGAGGAGCGAAAGCGUGGGGAGCGAACAGGAUGUAGAUACCCUGGUAG